Molecule: ribosomal RNA, 292 nt
Filed under: uncultured bacterium
Lineage: Bacteria
Description: partial 16S ribosomal RNA
Rfam family: Bacterial small subunit ribosomal RNA
Source: RNAcentral
GUGCCAGCCGCCGCGGUAAGACGAACCGUGCGAACGUUGUUCGGAUUCACUGGGCUUAAAGGGCGCGUAGGCGGGCACGCCAGUCGGGAGUGAAAUCCCCCGGCUCAACCGGGGAACAGCUCCCGAUACUGCGUGCCUCGAGGGGGGUAGGGGUCGACGGAACUUCCGGUGGAGCGGUGAAAUGCGUAGAUAUCGGAAGGAACGCCGGUGGCGAAAGCGGUCGACUGGACCCCUUCUGACGCUGAGGCGCGAAAGCCAGGGGAGCAAACGGGAUUAGAAACCCCAGUAGUCC